RNAcentral lists this ribosomal RNA (335 nucleotides) under uncultured bacterium. RNAcentral's name for it is "bacterial SSU rRNA". It matches the Rfam family "Bacterial small subunit ribosomal RNA", at positions 1 to 334 of the family's 1533-position model. The record is from RNAcentral.
GACGUGACUUCAGAGUUUGAUCCUGGCUCAGGACGAACGCUGGCGGCGUGCCUAACACAUGCAAGUCGAACGGGGUAAUCCUUCGGGAUUGCUUAGUGGCGAACGGGUGAGUAACGCGUGAGAAACCUGCCUUUCAGUGGGGGACAACAGUUGGAAACGACUGCUAAUACCGCAUAACGUAUUUUAGGGGCAUCCCUUUGAUACCAAAGCUUUAUGUGCUGAAAGAUGGUCUCGCGUCUGAUUAGCUAGAUGGCGGGGUAACGGCCCACCAUGGCGACGAUCAGUAGCCGGUCUGAAAGGAUGAACGGCCACAUUGGGACUGAGAUACGGCCCAG